This 1182-nucleotide ribosomal RNA is filed under the name Triticum aestivum (bread wheat). RNAcentral describes it as "partial small subunit ribosomal RNA". Lineage: Eukaryota; Viridiplantae; Streptophyta; Magnoliopsida; Poales; Poaceae. The record is from RNAcentral.
AUGGAGCGGAUGGCCAGCUCCUAUUUCAAGGAGAUUUUUACAAAAGAUCCUACCCUGGAUCCGAACGAGGUGCUGGACAGUAUCGUUCCUAAGGUUUCAGCAGAGAUGAAUGAGGCCUUGUGUAAACCAUAUACGGAGGAGAUAUCUAAUGCGUUGUUUCAGAUCAGGCCGUUGAAAGCACCAGGCUGUGAUGGUUUUCCGGCCAGGUUCUAUCAGCAGAAUUGGGCUGUUCUCAAGGAGGAGAUAGUGGCAGCAGUGCAGGAGUUUUUUGUCACAGGAAUCAUGCCGGAUGGUGUUAAUGACACGACGAUUGUGUUAAUUCCCAAAGUUCCCCAUCCUAGGGAGCUGAAGGAUUUCCGACCUAUUAGUUUGUGCAAUGUGGUGUAUAAGAUCGUGUCAAAAUGCAUGGUGAAUAGGCUUCGGCCUCUCCUAACUGAGCUUAUCUCCGAAAAUCAGAGUGCAUUCAUUCCUGGGAGGCUCAUCUCUGAUAACUCCAUUAUUGCUUUUGAGUGUAUUCAUCACAUUCAAUCCGCCAAGGAAAAUUCACCAGCUUUAUGUGCUUACAAACUAGAUCUGUCGAAGGCCUAUGACCGUGUGUAUUGGAGUUUCUUGGAGAGGGCGCUUUCUAAGUGGGGCUUCUCUAACCAGUGGAUUUCUCGUGUUAUGGCGUGUGUUACCUCAGUGAAGUACUCUGUUAAAUUUAAUGGCAAGUUAUUGGAGACCUUCUCUCCUUCACGAGGGCUCCACCAAGGUGAUCCGUUAUCCCCUUUCCUCUUCCUUUUUGUGGCUGAUGCUCUUUCUGUCCUUCUAAACAAGUCGAUGAGGGAAGAAGGGCUGCAAGGGGUUAAGAUAUGCAGGGGUGCUCCUGUCAUCUCACAUCUCCUGUUUGCGGACGACUCCCUUUUGUUUUUCCAUGCUUCAGAACAGCAGGCUCUUUUGGUUAAAGGUGUGUUGAACACGUACCCGGCAGCGACUGGACAAUUGAUCAACCAGUUGAAGUGCUCCAUCCUUUUCUCAGAUAACUGCUUGCCAAGUGUGGUUCAGGAGGUUAAAUCUGUUCUGGAGAUUACACAAGAAGUUUUUGAACCCAAGUACUUGGGCCUUCCUGUCCCAGAAGGAAGAAUUCACAAAGGAAACUUUGAAACUAUCCAAGAGCGUUUACGUAAGAAGCUUAUAGAUUAG